RNAcentral lists this ribosomal RNA (508 nucleotides) under uncultured bacterium. RNAcentral describes it as "bacterial SSU rRNA". It matches the Rfam family "Bacterial small subunit ribosomal RNA", at positions 791 to 1297 of the family's 1533-position model. The record is from RNAcentral.
UAGUCCACGCCGUAAACGAUGAAUACUCGAAGUAGCUGGUAUUGACCCCGGCUGUUUCUAAGCUAACGCAUUAAGUAUUCCGCCUGGGAAGUACGGUCGCAAGACUAAAACUCAAAGGAAUUGACGGGGACCCGCACAAGCGGUGGAUCAUGUGGUUUAAUUCGAAGCAACGCGCAGAACCUUACCUGGCCUUAACAUCCCAGUGAAUGUUCAAGAAAUUGUUCAGGCCCGCAAGGGACACUGGUGAUAGGUGCUGCAUGGCUGUCGUCAGCUCGUGUCGUGAGAUGUUCGGUUAAGUCCGGCAACGAGCGCAACCCUUAUUUUUAGUUGCCAUCAUUAAGUUGGGCACUCUAGAGAGACUGCCGGUGUUAAACCGGAGGAAGGUGGGGAUGACGUCAAGUCCUCAUGGCCCUUACGGCCAGGGCUACACACGUGAUACAAUGGAUGGCACAAAGAGUCGCGAACCUGCGAGGGGAAGCCAAUCUCAAAAAACCAUCCUCAGUUCGGA